UUAAUACUAAAUUUUUCUUUAAAGACAAUAGAUUAUUCUUCUUUAUGGAAAUUUUUAUUUGAUAUUAGAAGUUACGGAUUACCUUCUUGUAAUUUAACUUUUGGAUUUGUUAGAUAUUUGAAAUAGAAGGAAAAAUUAUCGAUCCUACAUUUGGUAGAAAUAAGAAUAGAUUUUCAACUAUUGUAGAUUAUUAUAAACUUAUCAACACUCUUCAGAUGGAAAUUUCACACAUCACAAGUGCC
This 242-nucleotide long non-coding RNA is filed under the name Physcomitrium patens. RNAcentral describes it as "long non-coding RNA (PPAT_LNC000585)". The record is from RNAcentral. Lineage: Eukaryota; Viridiplantae; Streptophyta; Bryopsida; Funariales; Funariaceae.